RNAcentral lists this ribosomal RNA (800 nucleotides) under uncultured Glomus. RNAcentral's name for it is "SSU rRNA". It matches the Rfam family "Eukaryotic small subunit ribosomal RNA", at positions 314 to 1114 of the family's 1831-position model. Lineage: Eukaryota; Fungi; Glomeromycota; Glomeromycetes; Glomerales; Glomeraceae. The record is from RNAcentral.
AUCAACUUUCGAUUGGUAGGAUAGAGGCCUACCAUGGUGGUAACGGGUAACGGGGUGUUAGGGCACGACACCGGAGAGGGAGCCUGAGAAACGGCUACCACAUCCAAGGAUGGCAGCAGGCGCGCAAAUUACCCAAUCCCGACACGGGGAGGUAGUGACAAUAAAUAACAAUACGGGGUUCUUUCGGAUCUCGUAAUUGGAAUGAGUACAAUUUAAAUCUCUUAACGAGGAACAAUUGGAGGGCAAGUCUGGUGCCAGCAGCCGCGGUAAUUCCAGCUCCAAUAGCGUAUAUUAAAGUUGUUGCAGUUAAAAAGCUCGUAGUUGAAUUUCGGGGUUAGUAGGUUGGUCAUGCCUCUGGUAUGUACUGGUCUCACUGAUUCCUCCUUCCUUAUGAACCGUAAUGCCAUUAAUUUGGUGUUGCGGGGAAUUUGGACUGUUACUUUGAAAAAAUUAGAGUGUUUAAAGCAGGCUAACGCUUGAAUACAUUAGCAUGGAAUAAUGAAAUAGGACGUUCGAUCUUAUUUUGUUGGUUUCUAGGAUUGACGUAAUGAUUAAUAGGGAUAGUUGGGGGCAUUAGUAUUCAAUUGUCAGAGGUGAAAUUUUUGGAUUUAUUGAAGACUAACUACUGCGAAAGCAUUUGCCAAGGAUGUUUUCAUUAAUCAAGAACGAAAGUUAGGGGAUCGAAGACGAUCAGAUACCGUCGUAGUCUUAACCAUAAACUAUGCCGACUAGGGAUCGGAUGAUGUUAAUUUUUUAAUGACUCAUUCGGCGCCUUACGGGAAACCAAAGUGUUUGGGUUC